AUUGAACGCUGGCGGCAGGCCUAACACAUGCAAGUCGAGCGGAUGAAGGGAGCUUGCUCCUGGAUUCAGCGGCGGACGGGUGAGUAAUGCCUAGGAAUCUGCCUGGUAGUGGGGGAUAACGUCCGGAAACGGGCGCUAAUACCGCAUACGUCCUGAGGGAGAAAGUGGGGGAUCUUCGGACCUCACGCUAUCAGAUGAGCCUAGGUCGGAUUAGCUAGUUGGUGGGGUAAAGGCCUACCAAGGCGACGAUCCGUAACUGGUCUGAGAGGAUGAUCAGUCACACUGGAACUGAGACACGGUCCAGACUCCUACGGGAGGCAGCAGUGGGGAAUAUGGGACAAUGGGCGAAAGCCUGAUCCAGCCAUGCCGCGUGUGUGAAGAAGGUCUUCGGAUUGUAAAGCACUUUAAGUUGGGAUGAAGGGCAGUAAGUUAAUACCUUGCUGUUUUGACGUUACCAACAGAAUAAGCACCGGCUAACUUCGUG
This 484-nucleotide ribosomal RNA is filed under the name uncultured bacterium. RNAcentral describes it as "partial 16S ribosomal RNA". It matches the Rfam family "Bacterial small subunit ribosomal RNA", at positions 30 to 507 of the family's 1533-position model. The record is from RNAcentral.